AUGCUGACGGGAAGGUGGCGAGCUCAGCGGAGCUGUGUGUCCUGCUUGGUGGCCUCUGUCCCGAGCCCACUGUACUUUCAUGGUUGGCCAGCAUCUCCGUGGGUUUCCAGAUGCUCACAGGACCACUCAGGCUGGGGGUGUACGAGCCCAUCCCAGGGCCGCAGCAGUGUGGUCUCUUGGUCCCCAGAGAGGCAGCCUUCUGCUGGGGUGCCCAGGCCUCCAUCAGAGCAAGGUGCUCCAGGGGGAAGGACCUGCCUUCUUGGGCCUGUGAACAGUGGAGCCUUUUCGCCAUGGCCGGCUUCAGAACCCCAGACCAAACCCGCGGGGACUGGUGGGUGGAGGAAGGAAACAGGAAAUCAGAUGACCGUGGAGAGCUCGUUGGCGGAGCCACCAGAGCAAGGGGACAGAGUGGCAAUGGGGGGGGUGGAGACGACACAGCCCUCUUCUACCCACAGGGGUCCCCUAGAGGAAAGGCUGCAGCCCUGUCCCGGUUCCCGCAGUAAUGGCGCUGCUCCCCCUCCCCUUUGUCACAGCUGGGCUUUGACCUACAACCAGAUGCGCCUGAGAGGUGUUCUCCGAAGUUUCGUGGACGGUCUCACUAACCUCAGGGAGCACAUACGGAUCUGGAGCUUCCUGACCUUCAGGAACAGGGUGUCCCCCAACCCCGGGCGCGGGCUGGUGCUGUCCCUGCUGCUGCUGGUGGUGCUGCUGCUAGGCUGGGGGCUGCAGGUCCUCCAGUGACGCCCGGCUGCUGCUCGGGGCGGGGGGCGGGGCUGGCCUCGCCCCCCUGGCCGCCACCCUGGAGGUGGCCUUGUUGGGUUUGUUGUCUUUUUAACGAUUUUCUGAUGAUGCCUUUUUUAUAUUUAAAACAGGGUGCUGGGACACUACUGAGGUUUCAUACUAGUUUUUUUCUUUUUCUUUUUGUAAGAGAAAUGAAUUCAUUAUACCUCUGGGGUCGUUGCUGGUUAACUGCCCGUGCCAAGGCCUGGGUGGGCCUGCUCUCCUGGCCCCAGCCCACGUGUGGUGGCCUGUCCCAGGAAGGAGCCUUCCUCUGGCUGGGGGACCCUGUGGCGGGCCGUGGGGGGAGUGCUGGCCACACCCCCACGUCUGUGAUGCCCCGGGGCAAAGGGAAAAUCUGCUGGAAUAGAUUUCUGAGGGGUGAGGAGAGCUCAAUAAAAUGUUGGUUUCCAGCUGGUCUCUGGUCCUC
This 1207-nucleotide long non-coding RNA is filed under the name Neogale vison (American mink). RNAcentral describes it as "Neovison vison (American mink) lncRNA (ENSNVIG00000021903.1)". Lineage: Eukaryota; Metazoa; Chordata; Mammalia; Carnivora; Mustelidae. The record is from RNAcentral.